Molecule: non-coding RNA, 561 nt
Organism: Rattus norvegicus (Norway rat)
Lineage: Eukaryota; Metazoa; Chordata; Mammalia; Rodentia; Muridae
Source: RefSeq, a predicted model, not a curated record
GAACCCUUCAAAGCCUAAUGCAUUCAGGAGCAGGCAUGUUCUUCAGGCUGCUCAGUCUAUUUCAGAGGAAGAAUCAUGUACAUGCAGAGACCAGAACAAGGCAGAAUGGGACAAGCCUUCUAUGAUGUUGGAGAACAAGAUGAAAGAAAUGGUCCUGGGAAAACCCAGUGAAACUUGGACCAGGUGUUUGGUCAAAAGGCAUCAUCCCAACACUCUACAACCCUUAAUGAGGACAGAAUGAAGCAUUUGGAGAAUCUGAAUGUUGAUCUACACAAGAUGCAAAAUGAGAGAGAAGAUCUCCUGGGGAUCCUCUCAUAUUACCCCAGAAAGGACUUAAAUGACAGGUAGUCACAAUGGAAGUUCUUUGUUGACGGUGUUGACAUGUCUGUUUCACCUACAUUUCCUCACAUCAUAGUAGGGUACAACUCAAGUGUGUCCUCAUGGUCAAAAUUAUUUUCCUGAUUGCAUCUUAAACACAGAAUAUGAAGUUCAGAUAGUAGUGAUACAGGAGAACAGACUAUUUUGAUUCCUCAAAAAGUAAAUCAUAUCCUGUGACCUGAA